Long non-coding RNA from Phyllopteryx taeniolatus (common seadragon), 2709 nucleotides. RefSeq lists it as uncharacterized. Lineage: Eukaryota; Metazoa; Chordata; Actinopteri; Syngnathiformes; Syngnathidae. The transcript is spliced from 2 exons. The record is from RefSeq and is a predicted model, not a curated record.
UGCGCGAGGGCCGUGUGUCUUACGUGUGCGUGGAACACUUUUUCCGCCCGCACCGCCGCAAGAGGAAGAAGAGGAAAUUCGUGCGGGAUUCGACGCUCGUUUUCGGAAGCUUUUCGGCUCCGUUUUGUGCGGUUAUUAACGACGCGGGGACAACGAGUACCGAAGCCAUCUAGCCCCCCCUCCCCUUCUUCCCCCCCCCCCCCCCCCCUUCCACGCGGCGUGAUUUCGAGGAAAGAGGCUCGCUUUUCCCUUGUCGUUAUCGUUUUUCUUGGCCUAUGCACGGAUUCUCCUGCUGAUAGUAUUCCGUGGGAAGACGAGAGGUAGAAAAAAGGGGUGGGGGUGCGUGUGUGUGACGAGAGGAGGAGGAGGGGGGUGGGGGGGUCUCUCCACGGUGAGUUGUAGCUUCUUUUUAUGCGUAAAUCUCGCGCGAAAACUUGAUUCCACGCGUGGAGAACAGACCGUGGAUGGGUUGCUGGAGUGGUGGGUGGACUUGAAGAGGAUAAAGUGCACCUUAUUUGGCCACUUAAUGGGUAUCCGAUGAUAGGGAGGAGGAGGAGGAGGAGGAGGAGGGAGGAGGGAGGGGUGUCGUGGGGCGGGUGUGGGGUUACAUUUUCACGUUGCGGGCGUGUGCGUGCAGCCAAGCCUGUUGUGCAAUCGAACAAGUCGUCAGUGUUGCGCCGCGAGCUGGCAGGAAAGAGAGACUCCGGGCGGGCUGGCUGGCGUGGAGGAGGCGCAUAGGCCGCGCGCACUCCUUCUCCUUCGCCAGCUUCCUUGUAGACAUGGCGGAGAGAGACAGAAAGAGAGAGAGAAAGGGGAAGAAGCAGGUCUGGCUCCCAAAAUGAAAUGGCAUCUUCCUUGGCCCAUUCCUUACCCACUCUACAAAGUUUUGUGGUAACUGGUGAAGCAACAUUAGUGAAACUAACAAGAAAGAAACCUCCUUGCAUGGUGGAGGUAAUAAACCUCGACCAGCACUCCAUAGAAUUCUACCAAGACCUAAAAAAAAAAAAAUUUUUUAAAAACUUGAUUUUUGUCAUUGUUUUAAUGCUUUUUCUCAACUCAGAAAUUAAUGAAAGUAUCGUGUAAACAUUAAAAUAUUCCACAUCCACAACUUUUCCAUGGGUCCACCUCUUCACAAAGUUUUAUGGCUACAAAACGUUAACAAAAGUGAUCAAAUUGUUGAGUUGAAGUCGUUUUUGGCACGCCAUAAAAGUCCAGACCAGAGUUUCAAAUUGCAAACCUCAUACAGAUUAUAGACCACCUGCAAAAACUAAAAUGUCCUCAAUAUUCAUGGGCUCAGAUGAAAUCACUGAGAGGUUAAGGAAAAGUGCAUGUUAACCAAAUAAGUGGCCAAAAAAAUGAUGCUUUUGCAGGAUUUGCACUAGAAUGAUACUCAAAAGUGCUACAUUGAUCUCUUCAUAAAACUGUGUGACAAUCGGAGUAGUUUUUGUAUAAUUCUGCAAACUCACAAUGAAAGUGUAUGCACGGGUCCCUUAAAUAUUAGCAAAAGUGAUAAAAACAAAUUCCCUUCAUUUUUUUUUUUGCCCGGGACUAAAACCCUGCCAAGGCCUAAUAAUCCUUAUUUGGAUCAAAUGUACCAAAUCGGACACAUUUUACAGAUCCUAAAAGUUGCAUAGUCUUGGAAUGUCAUGCAUUUACUGAAAAACGAAGGAAAUUGAGCCCAGCAAUGUCCCAUUUGCACACUUUUCAAGAAGAAUGUGGCGUUCCCCAGUAUUGGCUUGCUUCAGUGGUUGGGAAUCCACACCAAAAAGAAAAGAAACAUUUGAAGUAGUUUUUGUGUGGCCUUAACUUACAAAACAUUAUAAAAUUAACCUCCAUGGCUGAGGUGAAAUUUGUGUUUAUCACAUUCAACAGUAACAUGAGGUUUAUUUACACCCACCGCCCUCACCCGUGUGUUGUUGUGUCAUCAAACACGGUGACACGGGAGUGGGAGCUUUUGCUCAAAGGAAGAAGUGGAGUGCAGCAGGAGGGUGAGGGUGGGCCUCUCUGUUUUUCAGCAUCCUUGUAGUGUAUAGCAAGUCUGGGGGGAGCUGGGGGGCGUUAGGGGAGGAAUGUAGGCCCCUCGCCCUCCCCCAACCGUCCCUCUUGUCGUCCUUUUCUCUCUCUAAGGUUGUGUUGAGAUUAGGUGUCAGUGCUCCCGUUUGUGCCUCAUGUUUGAACCCCGAGGGAGACCUCCCGAGCAAAGAGCCUUGUUUGUUUGCACCUUGCUAAAAGACCCUUCCCCCCCCCCCCCCCAAGACCACCGGUGCAUAUAGCUUAAAAAAAUCCAAUGUCUUGGUCAUGACGCUAACUGACUCAUUUACUUGUUUCUGCAAUUGCACACCACUAUGGUCGGAAAAGUGUUGGCCGAGGGCCCCCCUGAAAAAGAAAGAGAAGCCGCCGCAAGUCACUUGACUGUGUGAAAUUCCGCCCCUGUGCAAGAACGUGACUUGUUUGGGCUUGCUUGCAAUGCUUGCUGGGAAAUCCUGGAAUGUGUGGAAUGGGGGACGGUGGUGCUUGUGCAUCUGCAGUCCACACAAGAGCGCACAGUAUCCUGCCAUGAGAGCCACACAUGGCUGCUAAGAAGCACUUCCAAGUGCAAAAGAGUAACACUAACAACUGUUAAAACGAAAGCUUCAUAUUUUUUUUUACUUAAAUGUGUUUGUACAUGUACUUUUGUAUUUGUGCUUCAUUAAAGCUGAAAAAAACCCA